Molecule: ribosomal RNA, 588 nt
Filed under: Xylariales sp. OC13
Lineage: Eukaryota; Fungi; Ascomycota; Sordariomycetes; Xylariales
Description: eukaryotic LSU rRNA
Rfam family: Eukaryotic large subunit ribosomal RNA
Source: RNAcentral
AAUAAGCGGAGGAAAAGAAACCAACAGGGAUUGCCCCAGUAACGGCGAGUGAAGCGGCAACAGCUCAAAUUUGAAAUCUGGUCCCCAGGGCCCGAAUUGUAAUUUGUAGAGGAUGCUUUUGGCAAGGUGCCUUCCGAGUUCCCUGGAACGGGACGCCAUAGAGGGUGAGAGCCCCGUCUGGUCGGAUACCAAGCCUCUGUAAAGCUCCUUCGACGAGUCGAGUAGUUUGGGAAUGCUGCUCAAAAUGGGAGGUAUAUGUCUUCUAAAGCUAAAUAUUGGCCAGAGACCGAUAGCGCACAAGUAGAGUGAUCGAAAGAUGAAAAGCACUUUGAAAAGAGGGUUAAAAAGUACGUGAAAUUGUUGAAAGGGAAGCGCCUAUGACCAGACUUGGGCCCGGUGAAUCAUCCAGCGUUCUCGCUGGUGCACUUUGCCGGGCACAGGCCAGCAUCAGUUUGGCGCGGGGGAUAAAGACUUUGGGAAUGUGGCUCCCUCGGGAGUGUUAUAGCCCAUUGUGUAAUACCCUGCGCCGGACUGAGGUACGCGCAUUGCAAGGAUGCUGGCGUAAUGGUCAUCAGCGACCCGUCUUGA